GAAAUGCGAUAAGUAGUGUGAAUUGCAGAAUUCAGUGAAUCAUCGAAUCUUUGAACGCACAUUGCGCCCCUUGGUAUUCCAUGGGGCAUGCCUGUUCGAGCGUCAUUUGUACCCUCAAGCUCUGCUUGGUGUUGGGUGUUUGUCCCGUCUCCGCGCGUGGACUCGCCCCAAAGUGAUUGGCAGCCGGCGUACUGGUCCCGGAGCGCAGCACAUGUCGCGCAAACGAGUGCCUUGGUACGGCGGCGUCCAUAAGCCCCUCUCUCACGCUCUUGACCUCGGAUCAGGUAGAGAUACCCGCUGAACUUAAGC
Molecule: unclassified non-coding RNA, 309 nt
Filed under: plant metagenome
Description: partial contains 5.8S ribosomal RNA, internal transcribed spacer 2, and large subunit ribosomal RNA
Rfam family: 5.8S ribosomal RNA (bases 1-105)
Source: RNAcentral